This 206-nucleotide ribosomal RNA is filed under the name uncultured bacterium. Its description in RNAcentral is "partial 16S ribosomal RNA". It matches the Rfam family "Bacterial small subunit ribosomal RNA", at positions 568 to 774 of the family's 1533-position model. The record is from RNAcentral.
UGCGUAGGCGGUCUUUUAAGUCAGGAGUGAAAGGCUACGGCUCAACCGUAGACAUGCACCCUGAACUGGGUCACUUGAGUAUUGGAGAGGCAGGCAGAAUUCCUGGUGUAGCGGUGAAAUGCGUAGAUAUCAGGAGGAAUACCGGAGGCGAAGGCGGCCUGCUGGACAAAUACUGACGCUGAGGCGCGAAAGCGUGGGAGCAAACA